CCGCUGAAUUUAAGCAUAUAACUAAGCGGAGGAAAAGAAACCAACCGGGAUUCCCCCAGUAACGGCGAGUGAAGCGGGAACAGCCCAGCGCCGAAUCCGCCGCGGCUGCCAGCCCGGCCGGAACUGUGGCGUGUGGGACGCGGCCAGUCGGCAGGGAGAACGCCAAAGUCCCCCCGAGCGGGGCCCAUCCCAGAGCGGGUGCCAGGCCUCUGCCGGCGUUCACCCGGUCGGCCGCCGCCGUCCCCGGAGUCGGGUUGCUUGGGAAUGCAGCCCGAAGCGGGAGGUAAACUCCUCCUAAGGCUAAAUACCGGCGCGAGUCCGAUAGCGGACAAGUACCGCGAGGGAAAGUUGAAAAGAACUUUGAAGAGAGAGUUC
RNAcentral lists this ribosomal RNA (375 nucleotides) under Eubranchus rupium. RNAcentral's name for it is "partial large subunit ribosomal RNA". It matches the Rfam family "Eukaryotic large subunit ribosomal RNA", at positions 25 to 390 of the family's 3401-position model. Lineage: Eukaryota; Metazoa; Mollusca; Gastropoda; Nudibranchia; Eubranchidae. The record is from RNAcentral.